UGGGGAAUAUUGCACAAUGGGGGGAACCCUGAUGCAGCCAUGCCGCGUGAAUGAAGAAGGCCUUCGGGUUGUAAAGUUCUUUCGGUGACGAGGAAGGUUGGUAGGUUAAUAGCCUAUCAAAUUGACGUUAAUCACAGAAGAAGCACCGGCUAACUCCGUGCCAGCAGCCGCGGUAAUACGGGGGGUGCGAGCGUUAAUCGGAAUAACUGGGCGUAAAGGGCACGCAGGCGGUGACUUAAGUGAGAUGUGAAAGCCCCGAGCUUAACUUGGGAAUUGCAUUUCAUACUGGGUCGCUAGAGUACUUUAGGGAGGGGUAGAACUCCACGUGUAGCGGUGAAAUGCGUAGAGAUGUGGAGGAAUACCGAAGGCGAAGGCAGCCCCUUGGGAAUGUACUGACGCUCAUGUGCGAAAGCGUGGGGAGCAAACAGGAUUAGAUACCCUGGUAGUCCACGCUGUAAACGAUGUCGAUUUGGGGAUUGGGCUUUGAGCUUGGUGCCCGUAGCUAACGUGAUAAAUCGACCGCCUGGGGAGUACGGCCGCAAGGUUA
Molecule: ribosomal RNA, 547 nt
Filed under: uncultured bacterium
Lineage: Bacteria
Description: bacterial SSU rRNA
Rfam family: Bacterial small subunit ribosomal RNA
Source: RNAcentral